Molecule: long non-coding RNA, 373 nt
Organism: Syngnathus acus (greater pipefish)
Lineage: Eukaryota; Metazoa; Chordata; Actinopteri; Syngnathiformes; Syngnathidae
Exons: 2
Source: RefSeq, a predicted model, not a curated record
AUGAAGCAAAGGCACAUGAUGUAAAUAGGUACAGGCUGCAAAUUGCCACCACACUUCUAUUAGAGACUGAUGAUUUAUCUGACUUGUGCUUUGUUUGUGGGGAAGCUACACAUGACACAGACAACAGAUGGGUAAUUAUGUCAGGUCUUGUUAACUAAUGCAUGUGAUGAUUAAGAAAUAUAUUGAAUUACACAUUCGUUGUAAAUUAUUGUAAAUGUGCUGCAUUGUAUGAUCUUGCUUUUUUCUUUGUUUACCAGAUUCAGUGUGACGAGUGUUGCAGGUGGUUCCAUCUUGUAUGUGUCGGGGAGCCUCCAACCGAAGGCUCUUUUUUGUGUACAUGUACAGAAAUUAAAUGCUAAAUAUUUGAAGCUUG